UCCCCCUUCCCCCCCUGCAGUUUCUUAAUAUGGUGAAUUAACACUGAUAUUUGAAUGUUAAGUGAACCCUGCAGUCUUGGAAUAAACCCCACUUGGUCAUGAGAGCAACAUCUCAGACACGUCGAAAAAGAUGUUUUGAUCCCUAAAAUAAUGACAGAAAAGGCCAGAGAGAGGUGUUCUGAACAAGUUCAAGAUUUUACCGAAUGUUGCAAGAACUCUGGACUCCUUAUGGUAGUAAAAUGCCAAAAAGAAAACUCUGCAUUGAAAGAGCGUCUAACUGCUUACUAUAAUGAUCCAGUCUUUUACGAAGAAUGCAAAAUGGAAUACUUGAAGGAAAGGGAAGAAUUUAGAAAAACUGGAAUUCCUACCAAGAAAAGGCUAGAGAAGCUUCCCACGAGCAUGUAGGCAAAUAUUCCAGUGAUACUUAGGAACUCUAAUAUUUAUGGAAGUCAUUCAUAGUAUAAAU
This is a non-coding RNA of Microcebus murinus (gray mouse lemur), 466 nucleotides long. The record is from RefSeq and is a predicted model, not a curated record. Lineage: Eukaryota; Metazoa; Chordata; Mammalia; Primates; Cheirogaleidae.